This 881-nucleotide non-coding RNA is filed under the name Ischnocnema aff. guentheri UFMG_13906. RNAcentral describes it as "partial small subunit ribosomal RNA". The stretch from base 433 to 877 matches the Rfam family "Eukaryotic small subunit ribosomal RNA". The record is from RNAcentral. Lineage: Eukaryota; Metazoa; Chordata; Amphibia; Anura; Brachycephalidae.
UUUUUUCUUAAUUUACACAUGCAAGUUUCCUCAACCCUGUAAGUAAACCUCUCCUUCCCCUACGGGGUAAUAAGGGUCGAUAUAGGGCUCCACCUUCUACCCAAAAUACCUAGUGAUAGCCACACCUACGAAGAAUAUAGCAGUAAUUACAUUAGAUAUAAAUGCCAACUUGACCUAAUUAAAAAAUGCAAGACCAACAAAUUAAUGCCAGCCACCACAAUUACACUAAGCCUAAACUGAUUUUUACUGACAUAAAAUUCAAUAUUAAGCAAUUUAUAAAUUAGAGCUAAACCCCACCCGGACAAUGAAAUGUAUUUGAAAAAGCCCAUAAACUAAAAUUGCUCUUUUUCCCACUUAUGGUUAGAAAACAAACUGGGAUUAGAUACCCCACUAUGCCUGGCCAUAAACCUUAAAUUACCCCCCCCAUCGCCAAGGAACUACGAGCUAUGCUUAAAACCUAAGAGACUUGACGGUACCCCAUAUUCACCUAGAGGAGCCUGUCCUAUAACCGAUACCCCUCGUUAAACCUCACCACUGCUAGCCUUUCAGCCUGUAUACCUCCGUCCCAGCUUACCAUGUGAAUGAACCAGUAAGCUCAACCGCCACCCACUAAUACAUCAGGUCGAGGUGCAGCAAAUGCAGUGUGAAAGAGAUGGGCUACACUCUCUAUUUUAGAAGACACGGAUAGUCAUAUGCAACUUGACCUGAAGGUGGAUUUAGUAGUAAAAAGAAAGCAGAGCGUUCUUUUUAAGCCGACACUGGGGUGUGUACACACCGCCCGUCACCCUCUUCAAAAACACACAACAGUAUUUAACAAAACUUUUCCCAUAAGAAGAGGCAAGUCGUAACAUGGUAAGCGUACCGGAAGGUGCGCUUGGUAA